GAAAAAAAAAAAAAAAGACCCGCAUUUCCUUUUUGACUUAAGAGGGAGAGAGAGAGAGAGAGAAGCGGAGGCUGGGGGCUGGAGGACGCAUCGAGCUAUCCCUCGUCCCGAUUGUGAACUUGGCAGCGACUGCUCAGCGUGAAUAACCCCAGUGGCCACUAACCAGGAACACCUGCUGGCCCCACUACCCGGAACAGGAGGAGAAGAUGGGCAUCUCCAGCGGAAUUCCACCGCGGAAUAUGGAAGUGUUUAAAGGAAGACCUUCCCCACUCAGGGUAGCAGAGACCUGAACCUUUAAAUUGCAGCCAUUCCCGGCCUGACGAUAACUUUUCUUGAAGCCAUGGCAGGAGCUGUGCUCGAAAUGGUGCCGUGGGAGUCUGUAUCCCAGGUCAGGAGACCAGACAUCAAAUCCCUGGUGCAUCUUGGCAGCUGGGAACGCUCCACAAAGCAGGAAUGCUCCAGCAAACCCUGCCAAAGCAGCUGCUGGGAGCACAUCACCAAAGGUACAAAUGACUGUGGUAUGUCCAUUUGAUCAAGUGCCAGAAUGUGAAACUGAAACACCAGUGUUUUCAUCUUGCUAUAAUUGGAAUCUUUUAAGACAAGAUUCCAGCUUUUGAAGGUGUUCACUGCAAGGUUUCAGUUCUUUCCCAUCAAGAUUUCAAUGCUAAUACAUAAAAUAUUAAACUCAACGUUGGCCGCCUUCCUCUUCCAUUGAACUCAACGGGGAUUUAAUUCUUUGAUUUCAAUCAGGACAAUGUUUAGCACUUUUGGCUGCCCAAAAACCACUGUGGUCCAACCACCUGCUCUGGAUCUGCAGGCUGAGCUCCACAGGUGUUACCAACCCUUCCCAAGCCAUCACUUGUCUGGAAACAGGAAUUUCUCUCUGGGUUGAACAAAUUAUGGUGACCUGAAACACGACUGAUACUUGGGGCUUCUUGGGAGCAGCCCUGCCAGGGAGGAAGCUGAAGGCUGGUAAUUUUUUGGGAUGAUAACGAAAUCUUUUAAUGAAAGGGAGGGGUUUGGCCUCCAAGGGCUUUGCCUCAGGGAGAGGGUGUGAAGGGGAGCAGCCCCUGAGCCCCGGGUUUGCCAUGCUGGCUGGGAGGCCGUGAGAAGAAUGAUGUUUGUACCCCUGCCAAGCCCUUCCCUGCUGCUCUUGGAGAAACCAAGCUGCAAAAAGCUCUUUCCUGCAGAGUGUCGCAAGGACUGUCUUGAAUUUGGCUUCAGGAAAUAGUUCAAUUCUUUUAUUUAUUGGGUUUUUUUAAAUCUAGCUUGCUCCACGUUAUUAAAAAAAAAAGAUAUGAUUUCUAUGGAUCUGUUGCAUGGGGCAGGAGAUCUACAUCACCUACAGGGAUGGUGAUGGGGUGGCAAUUUCUCUGUGCUGGAGCAACCAGUCAGCCUUAGUUUAAAUCCCUUCCUUCAUCCAGUGCAACAAUAAUAUUUUUUGGACAAGGGAUUUUGGAAAAGUUGAAAUGUUUGCUUUACAAAACAGACAUAAAAUUUCUCCUUCAAGGUGCUAAAUAUGUGCUGAGCUGGUCCAAAACACGACUGCAUCUGGCUGUGUCUCGUGUCUGCCACUAAAAAAAUGUCCUAAAUUCCAGACAACCUCUGGGGCUUUGAAAUAAAACUCAUUAAUCCUGCAUUUGAAUUUAAUAUUUGAAAUUUUAUCCUAAUCUUUUUUUUUUUUUCUUCCACAUGAAUUAACUUUAGAAUACUUGGAAAGGAGUACAAGGGUGGGUUUUUUUUUCUUCUUUUUUUUUUUUUUUUUUUUUGAGAGAGAGAGAGAGAGAGGGAGAACAUUCUUAACAAAGGGUAUAAAAUUAAACUAAAUUUGACCUCUGCCUUUAGCAGAUUUUCCACCUGGUCUGUGCAGGAAAUCAACUUCUAUAUAGCAGCUCUUUCAUAAGGAAUAACAUACAUGAGUCUGUAAGUGACAGUUUUUCUUGGGUGGACAACAAUGUUAGUUACUUUUUAUGAUUAAUUGAUAAAUGUUUUGAUAUGGUGCCUGGGCUCGGAGUCAAAAAUCACUCCAGUUAGAUGAUCCAACACUUGGGAAGCUGAGCCAAUUACAGCUCAGGCACAGUGAAAACAAUUCUAAAAUAUUUGAGCCUAAAAAUGUGCAUAGUUGUUAAGGAAUCUUACAUGUGGGUGUAUGGUGGUAUCCUGAAUUACAGCGACUUGGUGGGCCAAUUUCUUCAGGAAUGCAGGGAAGCGCAGGGAUUCGAGACUCUUGCAUCUAUAUUUCAAAAGACUUGGGAAAACAGAAGAACCACAUGGGCUCUUGUGGCUGGGCACGUGCUGAGGAAAACCAGAGCAUGGGCCAAAAUGUACUUUUAGUCCCUUGGGUUGCACAAAUCCCUUUGCUUUUUUGGGAAGGUUUUAGGUUUCCAGUCUCCUUCCCUUGACUCUUAACCUCCUCUGAGCUUGCUCUUUUCUUUUUUUAGGCUCCAGAACUUACUUUCUACACCAGGCUUCCAACUUUCAUCCUCAGAUUUGCACCCUGAUGGAUUUUUAAAUGGUCCACGAGGAGAAGGAUUUCGUGUCUGUGAUCAGGUUGCCCCUACCAGCAGGGUGGGCUGGACUCAGAGGUUUUAGGUACAGCCCAGCACCAAAAAAACGACAUUAGACACAGCUCUUGACGGGCCUCCAAAAGAAUAAACUCAUUUGUGAUUAGAGUUUAUUUUCUCAGAUUUUUUGGGAGAAAGAAAAAGCAUUGUCUUUUUCAUUCUACAGGUGAGUGAAUACAGAGGCAUUUUUUUCAGUAGGAUUUUGGGGUCAUCAACUCAAAGACCAUUUGGAAAACUCCCUGUUGCAAAUUGCUGAUGCCUUCGUGUGUGACAGAGCUGUUCCCAACCAAGUCAGUGGAAACAGAAUAUCUGUUUUCUUUUCUGGUUCCCCUAGCCUUCAAUUCCUAAAAUGUUACAUGGAAAUUUUGAGCGAAGCACGCCUGGAAUUCAGUGCCACCAGAGAUCUAGAAACUGAGAGGCAAAUCCUGAGCUUCAGAAAUCUCAGGGGUUUUUGAUUGUUCAGCAUCUUGUAAGGUUUUUGAUUGUUCAGCAUUUUGAUCUAAUCCUAGCCCCAAGCAUAUAAUUGUCUUCAAUGGAUUUUUAUUCCAAGGUCAAGCUUCACUUUAGAAAAAUUAAUGGAUACAGCUUCUGCUGGGGGCUGUUUGACAUCACUAAGGCCAUCAACUUCUGAAGGGCUUGAAGAUAUUUGAAUAGAAUUGGAUUUAGAAAUUAAUCCACUUUUUUAGAGCCCUUGACUCUUGAUACGUUGUGAAGGAAGUGAGGAGAGCUGAAGAAUAUAUUUUCAAAUGGAAGAGCAUCUUUCCUAUCCUUGUUUUCCAGUAAAGAUCCAGUCUGCUAUGUGGUUAAAAAUGCAAUUUCCCCAGAAGCUGUCUCAUUUCAAGUACGAUUUGAAUGGCAUGACACCCCUUCCCAACCCUCCCUCCAUCCCUGACACCCUGUUUUGAUCCUGGCUGCUGGAUCUAAACACACUCCUGCUUUCACUUUAUUUAACCCUGGUGGAUUUCAUCACUGCUGAUCCAAAAGGAAAAUUUCUACCAGCACACUGUAAGCUUUACUGCUCGUGACUUCUUAAUCAUGCAGAUUUUAUUUCAUGUUAAGCUAGCAACUGAACUCUUCUAAUAAACAGAGUAAAAUCUAA
This is a non-coding RNA of Taeniopygia guttata (zebra finch), 3663 nucleotides long. The record is from RefSeq and is a predicted model, not a curated record. Lineage: Eukaryota; Metazoa; Chordata; Aves; Passeriformes; Estrildidae.